RNAcentral lists this unclassified non-coding RNA (284 nucleotides) under Hevea brasiliensis (rubber tree). The record is from RNAcentral. Lineage: Eukaryota; Viridiplantae; Streptophyta; Magnoliopsida; Malpighiales; Euphorbiaceae.
AAUGAGGUCAGGUUAAAUUUAUUGACCAGAGGGGCACAAAAGGAAAUUAGCUAUUGACCUCCCCUUUGCCUUGCCAAUUCACCCAAAAUGGCGUGAUUGUUUUAAAUGGCACAUCAAAAGGAGCAUACAUUUAUUUUCCCCAUCCCAACCUACCUUUCUUUCCAUCUGAACAAUGGAAAAAGUCCUCAUUUCUAUUUUUUUUUCUCAUUUCUAUUUCCAUCUCCUGCUCUUUCUUCAUCUGCUCUGCUUGCUAUAUUAACAAGUUAUCCAGUGCGAUGAGAUAG